UGUUAACCUUCCUAAUGGUGUGACUCUUU
RNAcentral lists this non-coding RNA (29 nucleotides) under Mus musculus (house mouse). Lineage: Eukaryota; Metazoa; Chordata; Mammalia; Rodentia; Muridae. The record is from RNAcentral.